This 467-nucleotide ribosomal RNA is filed under the name uncultured bacterium. Its description in RNAcentral is "partial 16S ribosomal RNA". It matches the Rfam family "Bacterial small subunit ribosomal RNA", at positions 28 to 506 of the family's 1533-position model. The record is from RNAcentral.
GACGAACGCUGGCGGCGUGCUUAACACAUGCAAGUCGAACGGAAAGGCCCUGCUUUUUUGUGGUGCUCGAGUGGCGAACGGGUAAGUAACACGUGAGUAACCUGCCCUUGACUUUGGGAUAACUUCAGGAAACUGGGGCUAAUACCGGAUAGGAGCUCCUGCUGCAUGGUGGGUGUUGGAAAGUUUCGGCGGUUGGGGAUGGACUCGCGGCUUAUCAGCUUGUUGGUGGGGUAGUGGCUUACCAAGGCUUUGACGGGUAGCCGGACUGAGAGGGUGACCGGCCACAUUGGGACUGAGAUACGGCCCAGACUCAUACGGGAGGAAGGAGUGGGGAAUAUUGCACAAUGGGCGGCAGCCUGAUGCAGCAACGCCGCGUGCGGGAUGACGGCCUUAGGGUUGUAAACCGCUUUCGCCUGUGACGAAGCGUGAGUGACGGUAAUGGGUAAAGAAGCACCGGCUAACUACGU